RNAcentral lists this ribosomal RNA (2924 nucleotides) under Staphylococcus aureus subsp. aureus CIG1242. RNAcentral describes it as "bacterial LSU rRNA". It matches the Rfam family "Bacterial large subunit ribosomal RNA". The record is from RNAcentral. Lineage: Bacteria; Bacillati; Bacillota; Bacilli; Caryophanales; Staphylococcaceae.
UUAAGUUAUUAAGGGCGCACGGUGGAUGCCUUGGCACUAGAAGCCGAUGAAGGACGUUACUAACGACGAUAUGCUUUGGGGAGCUGUAAGUAAGCUUUGAUCCAGAGAUUUCCGAAUGGGGAAACCCAGCAUGAGUUAUGUCAUGUUAUCGAUAUGUGAAUACAUAGCAUAUCAGAAGGCACACCCGGAGAACUGAAACAUCUUAGUACCCGGAGGAAGAGAAAGAAAAUUCGAUUCCCUUAGUAGCGGCGAGCGAAACGGGAAGAGCCCAAACCAACAAGCUUGCUUGUUGGGGUUGUAGGACACUCUAUACGGAGUUACAAAAAGACGACAUUAGACGAAUCAUCUGGAAAGAUGAAUCAAAGAAGGUAAUAAUCCUGUAGUCGAAAAUGUUGUCUCUCUUGAGUGGAUCCUGAGUACGACGGAGCACGUGAAAUUCCGUCGGAGUCUGGGAGGACCAUCUCCUAAGGCUAAAUACUCUCUAGUGACCGAUAGUGAACCAGUACCGUGAGGGAAAGGUGAAAAGCACCCCGGAAGGGGAGUGAAAUAGAACCUGAAACCGUGUGCUUACAAGUAGUCAGAGCCCGUUAAUGGGUGAUGGCGUGCCUUUUUGUAGAAUGAACCGGCGAGUUACGAUUUGAUGCAAGGUUAAGCAGUAAAUGUGGAGCCGUAGCGAAAAGCGAGUCUGAAUAGGGCGUUUAGUAUUUGGUCGUAGACCCGAAACCAGGUGAUCUACCCUUGGUCAGGUUGAAGUUCAGGUAACACUGAAUGGAGGACCGAACCGACUUACGUUGAAAAGUGAGCGGAUGAACUGAGGGUAGCGGAGAAAUUCCAAUCGAACCUGGAGAUAGCUGGUUCUCUCCGAAAUAGCUUUAGGGCUAGCCUCAAGUGAUGAUUAUUGGAGGUAGAGCACUGUUUGGACGAGGGGCCCCUCUCGGGUUACCGAAUUCAGACAAACUCCGAAUGCCAAUUAAUUUAACUUGGGAGUCAGAACAUGGGUGAUAAGGUCCGUGUUCGAAAGGGAAACAGCCCAGACCACCAGCUAAGGUCCCAAAAUAUAUGUUAAGUGGAAAAGGAUGUGGCGUUGCCCAGACAACUAGGAUGUUGGCUUAGAAGCAGCCAUCAUUUAAAGAGUGCGUAAUAGCUCACUAGUCGAGUGACACUGCGCCGAAAAUGUACCGGGGCUAAACAUAUUACCGAAGCUGUGGAUUGUCCUUUGGACAAUGGUAGGAGAGCGUUCUAAGGGCGUUGAAGCAUGAUCGUAAGGACAUGUGGAGCGCUUAGAAGUGAGAAUGCCGGUGUGAGUAGCGAAAGACGGGUGAGAAUCCCGUCCACCGAUUGACUAAGGUUUCCAGAGGAAGGCUCGUCCGCUCUGGGUUAGUCGGGUCCUAAGCUGAGGCCGACAGGCGUAGGCGAUGGAUAACAGGUUGAUAUUCCUGUACCACCUAUAAUCGUUUUAAUCGAUGGGGGGACGCAGUAGGAUAGGCGAAGCGUGCGAUUGGGUUGCACGUCUAAGCAGUAAGGCUGAGUAUUAGGCAAAUCCGGUACUCAUUAAGGCUGAGCUGUGAUGGGGGAGAAGACAUUGUGUCUUCGAGUCGUUGAUUUCACACUGCCGAGAAAAGCCUCUAGAUAGAAAAUAGGUGCCCGUACCGCAAACCGACACAGGUAGUCAAGAUGAGAAUUCUAAGGUGAGCGAGCGAACUCUCGUUAAGGAACUCGGCAAAAUGACCCGUAACUUCGGGAGAAGGGGUGCUCUUUAGGGUUAACGCCCAGAAGAGCCGCAGUGAAUAGGCCCAAGCGACUGUUUAUCAAAAACACAGGUCUCUGCUAAACCGUAAGGUGAUGUAUAGGGGCUGACGCCUGCCCGGUGCUGGAAGGUUAAGAGGAGUGGUUAGCUUCUGCGAAGCUACGAAUCGAAGCCCCAGUAAACGGCGGCCGUAACUAUAACGGUCCUAAGGUAGCGAAAUUCCUUGUCGGGUAAGUUCCGACCCGCACGAAAGGCGUAACGAUUUGGGCACUGUCUCAACGAGAGACUCGGUGAAAUCAUAGUACCUGUGAAGAUGCAGGUUACCCGCGACAGGACGGAAAAGACCCCGUGGAGCUUUACUGUAGCCUGAUAUUGAAAUUCGGCACAGCUUGUACAGGAUAGGUAGGAGCCUUUGAAACGUGAGCGCUAGCUUACGUGGAGGCGCUGGUGGGAUACUACCCUAGCUGUGUUGGCUUUCUAACCCGCACCACUUAUCGUGGUGGGAGACAGUGUCAGGCGGGCAGUUUGACUGGGGCGUCGCCUCCUAAAAGGUAACGGAGGCGCUCAAAGGUUCCCUCAGAAUGGUUGGAAAUCAUUCAUAGAGUGUAAAGGCAUAAGGGAGCUUGACUGCGAGACCUACAAGUCGAGCAGGGUCGAAAGACGGACUUAGUGAUCCGGUGGUUCCGCAUGGAAGGGCCAUCGCUCAACGGAUAAAAGCUACCCCGGGGAUAACAGGCUUAUCUCCCCCAAGAGUUCACAUCGACGGGGAGGUUUGGCACCUCGAUGUCGGCUCAUCGCAUCCUGGGGCUGUAGUCGGUCCCAAGGGUUGGGCUGUUCGCCCAUUAAAGCGGUACGCGAGCUGGGUUCAGAACGUCGUGAGACAGUUCGGUCCCUAUCCGUCGUGGGCGUAGGAAAUUUGAGAGGAGCUGUCCUUAGUACGAGAGGACCGGGAUGGACAUACCUCUGGUGUACCAGUUGUCGUGCCAACGGCAUAGCUGGGUAGCUAUGUGUGGACGGGAUAAGUGCUGAAAGCAUCUAAGCAUGAAGCCCCCCUCAAGAUGAGAUUUCCCAACUUCGGUUAUAAGAUCCCUCAAAGAUGAUGAGGUUAAUAGGUUCGAGGUGGAAGCAUGGUGACAUGUGGAGCUGACGAAUACUAAUCGAUCGAAGACUUAAUCAA